Molecule: ribosomal RNA, 253 nt
Filed under: uncultured Ktedonobacter sp.
Lineage: Bacteria; Bacillati; Chloroflexota; Ktedonobacteria; Ktedonobacterales; Ktedonobacteraceae
Description: partial 16S ribosomal RNA
Rfam family: Bacterial small subunit ribosomal RNA
Source: RNAcentral
UACGGGGGGGGCAAACGUUGUUCGGAGUUACUGGGCGUAAAGGGCACGCAGGCGGUGCGGCGCGUUUCGCGUGACAGCGGAGGGCUUACCUCUCCGAGGAUGCGAAAGACGGCAGCACUUGAGGGCCAGUGAGGGACACGGAAUCCCGGGUGGAGUGGUGAAAUGCGUAGAGAUCCGGAGGAACACCGAAGGCGAAGGCAGUGUCCUGGCUGGUGACUGACGCUGAGGUGCGAAAGCUAGGGGAGCGAACGGG